GAUGAACGCUGGCGGCGUGCUUAACACAUGCAAGUCGAACGAACCUUCGGGGUUAUGGGCGGACGGGUGAGUAACGCGUGAGAAUCUGCCCUCAGGAGGGGGACAACAGCUGGAAACGGCUGCUAAUACCCCAUAUGCCGCGAGGUGAAAUGAAUUUCGCCUGAGGAUGAGCUCGCGUCUGAUUAGCUAGUUGGUGAGGUAAUGGCUCACCAAGGCAUCGAUCAGUAGCUGGUCUGAGAGGAUGAUCAGCCACACUGGGACUGAGACACGGCCCAGACUCCUACGGGAGGCAGCAGUGGGGAAUUUUCCGCAAUGGGCGAAAGCCUGACGGAGCAACGCCGCGUGAGGGAUGAAGGCCUCUGGGCUGUAAACCUCGUUUUUAUCAAGGAAGAAGAUCUGACGGUACUUGAUGAAUAAGCCACGGCUAAUUCCGUG
RNAcentral lists this ribosomal RNA (435 nucleotides) under uncultured bacterium. RNAcentral describes it as "bacterial SSU rRNA". It matches the Rfam family "Bacterial small subunit ribosomal RNA", at positions 28 to 507 of the family's 1533-position model. The record is from RNAcentral.